Molecule: ribosomal RNA, 42 nt
Filed under: Cercospora solani-betacei
Lineage: Eukaryota; Fungi; Ascomycota; Dothideomycetes; Mycosphaerellales; Mycosphaerellaceae
Description: partial 18S ribosomal RNA
Source: RNAcentral
UCUAACAAGGUCUCCGUAGGUGAACCUGCGGAGGGAUCAUUA